GGCGGUGGGAGCUGGCGGGUCACGGCGGCUGCGACGGGCGCGCCCUCGUGGCCUUACGUGGUCGUGCGUGACGUGCACCCCCGAGCGGGGACGCGGAGGGCGGGAGCGCGGGAAAGGCCGCCUGCUGGGCGGCGGCGGCGGUGGACGCGGUGCCCGCCCCGCAGCAGGGAUUCUCAACAGGGCUAAGGCUGGAGACACCAUUGGUUAUCUCGGUUGUCACAUCACUACUUUGAUGAACCAAAGUUGGCUCCUUGGGUUACGUUGUCAGCACAAGGCUUUGCAGACAGUCCUGUUUCGUGUAGAGAAAAUGAACAUGGCUUUCCAAAAGGAGGAGAGCAUUUAUACAACUUUGUGAUUUUUAAUAAUCAGGACUAUUGGCUUCAGAUGGCUGUUGAGGCAAAUGAUGACUGUCCAC
Molecule: long non-coding RNA, 415 nt
Filed under: Canis lupus dingo (dingo)
Lineage: Eukaryota; Metazoa; Chordata; Mammalia; Carnivora; Canidae
Description: lncRNA (ENSCAFG00020006774.1)
Source: RNAcentral